GUAUCUAUGGUGUGGGUAUUGCAAUAAAAUUGAUUUGAAGCGAUCCCAUGCUUUAUAAAAAGAUUCAGUAUCCUUCUAAUAAAAAUUAGAAAUUUCAGCUCUUAAUUC
This is a non-coding RNA of Ricinus communis (castor bean), 108 nucleotides long. The record is from Rfam. NCBI's taxonomy places the organism in Eukaryota, Viridiplantae, Streptophyta, Magnoliopsida, Malpighiales, Euphorbiaceae.